This 253-nucleotide ribosomal RNA is filed under the name uncultured bacterium. RNAcentral describes it as "partial 16S ribosomal RNA". It matches the Rfam family "Bacterial small subunit ribosomal RNA", at positions 524 to 776 of the family's 1533-position model. The record is from RNAcentral.
UACGUAGGGUGCAAGCGUUAAUCGGAAUUACUGGGCGUAAAGCGCACGUAGGCGGGUUUGUAAGUAGGGGGUGAAAUCCCAGAGCUCAACUCUGGAACUGCCUUCUAAACUGCAAGCCUGGAGGUCAGGAGAGGCGAGUGGAAUACCGAGUGUAGAGGUGAAAUUCGUAGAUAUUCGGUGGAACACCAGUGGCGAAGGCGACUCGCUGGACUGAUACUGACGCUGAGGUGCGAAAGCGUGGGGAGCAAACAGG